Molecule: ribosomal RNA, 1355 nt
Filed under: metagenome
Description: bacterial SSU rRNA
Rfam family: Bacterial small subunit ribosomal RNA
Source: RNAcentral
GUAGCGAAAGUUACGCUAAUACCGCAUAUUCUGUGAGCAGGAAAGCAGGGGAUCGCAAGACCUUGCGCUGAUUGAGCGGCCGAUAUCAGAUUAGCUAGUUGGUGAGGUAAAGGCUCACCAAGGCGACGAUCUGUAGCGGGUCUGAGAGGAUGAUCCGCCACACUGGAACUGAGACACGGUCCAGACUCCUACGGGAGGCAGCAGUGGGGAAUUUUGGACAAUGGGGGCAACCCUGAUCCAGCCAUGCCGCGUGAGUGAAGAAGGCCUUCGGGUUGUAAAGCUCUUUCGGCCGGGAAGAAAUCGUAUGGGUUAAUACCCUGUGCGGAUGACGGUACCGGCAUAAGAAGCACCGGCUAACUACGUGCCAGCAGCCGCGGUAAUACGUAGGGUGCGAGCGUUAAUCGGAAUUACUGGGCGUAAAGCGUGCGCAGGCGGUUUUGUAAGACAGGCGUGAAAUCCCCGGGCUCAACCUGGGAACUGCGCUUGUGACUGCAAGGCUAGAGUACGGCAGAGGGGGGUGGAAUUCCACGUGUAGCAGUGAAAUGCGUAGAGAUGUGGAGGAACACCAAUGGCGAAGGCAGCCCCCUGGGUCGAUACUGACGCUCAUGCACGAAAGCGUGGGUAGCAAACAGGAUUAGAUACCCUGGUAGUCCACGCCCUAAACGAUGUCAACUAGGUGUUGGGUGGGUAAAACCAUUUAGUACCGGAGCUAACGCGUGAAGUUGACCGCCUGGGGAGUACGGCCGCAAGGUUAAAACUCAAAGGAAUUGACGGGGACCCGCACAAGCGGUGGAUGAUGUGGAUUAAUUCGAUGCAACGCGAAAAACCUUACCUACCCUUGACAUGUCCAGGAGCCUGAAGAGAUUUGGGUGUGCCCGAAAGGGAACUGGAACACAGGUGCUGCAUGGCUGUCGUCAGCUCGUGUCGUGAGAUGUUGGGUUAAGUCCCGCAACGAGCGCAACCCUUGUCGUUAAUUGCCAUCAUUUAGUUGGGCACUUUAACGAGACUGCCGGUGACAAACCGGAGGAAGGUGGGGAUGACGUCAAGUCCUCAUGGCCCUUAUGGGUAGGGCUUCACACGUCAUACAAUGGUCGGUACAAAGGGUCGCCAACCCGCGAGGGGGAGCCAAUCCCAGAAAGCCGAUCGUAGUCCGGAUCGUAGGCUGCAACUCGCCUGCGUGAAGUCGGAAUCGCUAGUAAUCGUGAUCAGCAUGUCACGGUGAAUACGUUCCCGGGUCUUGUACACACCGCCCGUCACACCAUGGGAGCGGGUUCCGCCAGAAGUAGGUAGCCUAACCGCAAGGGGGGCGCUUACCACGGCGGGGUUCGUGACUGGGGUGAAGUCGUAACAAGGUA